Molecule: ribosomal RNA, 155 nt
Organism: Ipomoea triloba (trilobed morning glory)
Lineage: Eukaryota; Viridiplantae; Streptophyta; Magnoliopsida; Solanales; Convolvulaceae
Product: 5.8S ribosomal RNA
Exons: 1
Source: RefSeq, a predicted model, not a curated record
GACUCUCAACAACAAAUGUCUUAGCUCUCGCAUCAAUGAAGAACGUAGCGAUAUGCGAUACUUGAUGUGAAUUGCAUAAUCACGUGAACUAUCGAGUCUUUGAACGCAAGUUGCGCCAAAGCCGUUAGGCCGAUGGCACGUCUGCCUAGGCAUCA